Molecule: non-coding RNA, 45 nt
Filed under: Schistosoma margrebowiei
Lineage: Eukaryota; Metazoa; Platyhelminthes; Trematoda; Strigeidida; Schistosomatidae
Source: RNAcentral
AUCUAGCAGAUGAGUCCAAAAUAGGAUGAAACACACGACCUGGAU